UGUUUGUAAAUAAGCCGUUUCACUUUUUAUUUAGAAAAGCGAAAGGACGAAGGCCUAAGGUUAUGUGGCCAAUUAGUUUUCUUUGCUUCCGUUGUUCUGUUCCAAAUACUACUAUUUUCUAAUCACAGCCAUCUCGUCUGCUGCACAUAAUUGAGUUUUAUAUAUGCAAAACUAAAGAGAUAAAAUUGCUGCACCUUGGUCUGCACAAUAUUUAUGUUAGAUCUUUUCCGCAUGCAACCGCAAGAAUCUGAACUAUAUGUUAAUUAAGUGGUGUCCAAUGAUAUAUGUUAACAGACCAGCGUCUCUCUCC
Molecule: long non-coding RNA, 310 nt
Filed under: Oryza brachyantha (malo sina)
Lineage: Eukaryota; Viridiplantae; Streptophyta; Magnoliopsida; Poales; Poaceae
Description: long non-coding RNA (OBRA_LNC000479)
Source: RNAcentral